UCAUCAUCAUUUAAACCAAAACCUUUUUUUUUUUAAUUUCAUUUUCAGCCCCUAUUUUUUUAAGAAAACAGAAAGCUUUUUGCUUUCUCUCCUUCCCCUUUUCUCCCCUAUUUCUCUCUUUUUGGCUAGGGCUUCAUAUACCCAUCAUCGUUGCCGUCCGACCACCGCACCACCACCGUAUUCGGUGGCCAGCGAUGCGCCAAAAUGGGCCCUUAGCCUCAUCUUGAAACACCCUAGAGAAACCAGCCCUCAAAACCCGAAAAAAAAGAGUUGAAUAGAAAUGGUUCUCAACCCCUUCGGGUUCGAUUUUGACAACGGAGGAGGACCCUCCGGCACUGCAACCGUGGGAAACCAGUGAGUCUCUUCUUCUCCCUUUUUGUUUAUGUUUCUAUUUAAAAUCGUUUUUGGUAAAGAAAUGAAAAAUACAAAUAAAAAUGUAAAUCGAAAGAAAACAAGAAAAGUAAAUCGAAAUCAACCUUUGCCUUUGCUUCUAUUCUGUUUUUUUUUUAAUGUUCGUAACCGUUUACAAAGAAAAGAUAUUGGCUUUUAAAGCCAAUCUAAAAACUGUUGGUUUCAUAGUUUUUGUUAUUUUGCCAUUUAUUUCUCUGUCGAUCGCGUGCCUUCUUGCUGUUAUUUUUUGAUUUGGUUGCAGGUGUUGCGACGCGUGGAAGGGGCAAUGUUCAGGGGCGUGGUGGCUGAGGGGAGGCCAAAAGUCGAGGGGGAGUGGCGGCUGAACUUUGGUGGCUAGGGUUAGGGUGACUGCUGAAAAAAAUUAAAGAUAGUUGGCUAGGGUUUAGUUUAUUUCGGGCCUGGUAAUUGGGUUUGAGUUUGGGUCUGAUUUUGUAAUGGACUUUAAUUAUUUGGACUUUUAAAUCUGUUUAUUUGAGAUUUAUUUUUGUAAUUGGGUUAGACCAAAAUUGGCUAUUACACCACAGAUUUGCCAUCGUUCUUUUCAUAGCUGGAAAGUGAAAAAUAAUUGCCGUUAAAAAAUAACCUACUAAUUGAAAUUCACCCCUUUCAUUACCCAAGCCAGGAUCUAAAUGGAUCUGCAAAAUUUCAUUUUUCUUCUUCAUUGAGUGACAGAUCUGCUAACUCGUUUUCCAUUGAUGCAGGUUAAUGGUGGCGUGAUGAAACACAGACUUGCAAAAAGAUGAAAAUAUGGGACAAAAAAGACAAGAAAAACAAAUAAGACCUAAACGAUCAUGCCAGCGGCGGCAGACUUAAGCUUGCUAGGGUAGCAGACGAAAAACUAUAGCUUUUAAAUAUAUGAUGAAUUUAAAAGACUAAAUUUAAUCCAUAUUCUAUUAAAUAAAUUAAAUAAAUUCAAAUUUUAACAAAAUUAAUAUUUAUUAUUUAAAAAAUGGUUUUUAGUCCAUUUUAACUCUAUUUAGAUUGCAUAUAUAAACCUAAAACAAACGGAUAAAAUAAAGAGAAACAGAUGGCAUUAAUUAAUAUCCACAAUAAUUGCAUUUUUUUAUAAAGC
This 1483-nucleotide long non-coding RNA is filed under the name Gossypium barbadense (sea-island cotton). Its description in RNAcentral is "long non-coding RNA (GBAR_LNC000989)". The record is from RNAcentral. Lineage: Eukaryota; Viridiplantae; Streptophyta; Magnoliopsida; Malvales; Malvaceae.